AUGGGCGGAAGCCUGAACCAGCCAUGCCGCGUGCAGGAAGGAGGCCCUACGGGUUGUAAACUGCUUUUGUACGGGAAUAAACCUACCUUCGWGAAGGUAGCUGAAUGUACCGUAAGAAUAAGGAUCGGCUAACUCCGUGCCAGCAGCCGCGGUAAUACGGAGGAUCCGAGCGUUAUCCGGAAUUAUUGGGUUUAAAGGGUGCGUAGGCGGCCAGAUAAGUCAGUGGUGAAAGACGGUGGCUCAACCAUCGCAGUGCCGUUGAUACUGUUUGGCUUGAAUGUACUUGAGGGAAGCGGAAUGUGGCAAGUAGCGGUGAAAUGCAUAGAUAUGCCACAGAACACCGAUAGCGUAGGCAGCUUUCCAAGGUAUGAUUGACGCUGAGGCACGAAAGCGUGGGGAUCGAACAGGAUUAGAUACCCUGGUAGUCCACGCCCUAAACGAUGAACACUCGAUGUCGGCGAUAUACGGUCGGCGUCCAAGCGAAAGCGUUAAGUGUUCCACCUGGG
This 506-nucleotide ribosomal RNA is filed under the name Olivibacter terrae. RNAcentral describes it as "bacterial SSU rRNA". It matches the Rfam family "Bacterial small subunit ribosomal RNA", at positions 371 to 877 of the family's 1533-position model. Lineage: Bacteria; Pseudomonadati; Bacteroidota; Sphingobacteriia; Sphingobacteriales; Sphingobacteriaceae. The record is from RNAcentral.